GACGAACGCUGGCGGCGUGCUUAACACAUGCAAGUCGAACGGAAAGGCCCUGCUUUUGUGGGGUGCUCGAGUGGCGAACGGGUGAGUAACACGUGAGUAACCUGCCCUUGACUUUGGGAUAACUUCAGGAAACUGGGGCUAAUACCGGAUAGGAGCUCCUGCUGCAUGGUGGGGGUUGGAAAGUUUCGGCGGUUGGGGAUGGACUCGCGGCUUACCAGCUUGUUGGUGGGGUAGUGGCUUACCAAGGCUUUGACGGGUAGCCGGCCUGAGAGGGUGACCGGCCACAUUGGGACUGAGAUACGGACCAGACUCCUACGGGAGGCAGCAGUGGGGAAUAUUGCACAAUGGGCGGAAGCCUGAUGCAGCAACGCCGCGUGCGGGAUGACGGCCUUCGGGUUGUAAACCGCUUUCGCCUGUGACGAAGCGUGAGUGACGGUAAUGGGUAAAGAAGCACCGGCUAACUACGUG
Molecule: ribosomal RNA, 468 nt
Filed under: uncultured bacterium
Lineage: Bacteria
Description: partial 16S ribosomal RNA
Rfam family: Bacterial small subunit ribosomal RNA
Source: RNAcentral